RNAcentral lists this ribosomal RNA (486 nucleotides) under uncultured bacterium. RNAcentral's name for it is "partial 16S ribosomal RNA". It matches the Rfam family "Bacterial small subunit ribosomal RNA", at positions 28 to 507 of the family's 1533-position model. The record is from RNAcentral.
GAUGAACGCUGGCGGCGUGCCUAAUACAUGCAAGUCGAACGCUGGAAAUCUAGCUUGCUAGCUUGAAGGAGUGGCGAACGGGUGAGUAAUACAUAAGCAACCUACCCACGAAGACUGGGAUAAUCUCUGGAAACGGGGACUAAUACCGGAUAGGUAAUCGGAAGGCAUCUUCUGAUUAUUAAAGGUUAAAAACACUGGUGGAUGGGCUUAUGGCGCAUUAGUUAGUUGGUGAGGUAACGGCCCACCAAGACGAUGAUGCGUAGCCGGCCUGAGAGGGUGAACGGCCACAUUGGGACUGAGACACGGCCCAGACUCCUACGGGAGGCAGCAGUAGGGAAGUUUCGGCAAUGGGGGAAACCCUGACCGAGCAACGCCGCGUGAGUGAUGACGGCCUUCGGGGUGUAAAGCUCUGUUGUAAGGGAAGAACGGUAGAUAGAGAAUAUCUAAAUGACGGUACCUUACCAGAAAGCCACGGCUAACUACGUG